This is a long non-coding RNA of Mesocricetus auratus (golden hamster), 548 nucleotides long. RefSeq lists it as uncharacterized. The record is from RefSeq and is a predicted model, not a curated record. The transcript is spliced from 3 exons. NCBI's taxonomy places the organism in Eukaryota, Metazoa, Chordata, Mammalia, Rodentia, Cricetidae.
CAGGAAGCAAUCCCCAGACAGCUUAGGACUCAUGAGAACUAGCAUGUCAGGGACAGGCUCACAGAACAAACACAGCAGGGUCUCUGAUACUCUCAGACUCCCAGCCAGAGGUCCCUGAGAGGUUAAGCCAGGGAUGCUGGAGGAGGUGCCUCAGGGGAAGGUGACAAGAACCAUCACACCGAAGACCUGUAAGAGGUUACAGCUGGAUGGGGUGAAGCGACUUCCCUAAGAAGACACAGAGGCGUGGUGCUUCCUUCCUGACUGACCCACCCUGGACUCAUCCAUCACCAUCAGAAAACACCAUGGGAAAGAUUUCAAUGGAGCAUGAUGGGAAACGUGCAUACUAGGAGAUCCAUAACAGGUCACAGAGACAACUGUAGGAAAGAGAGGGGAUAUGGUAGCUCAGAGCAGAACACAGGAUCUUCGAACAAAGUGCCUUUCAGAACUGCUUGCUGUUGGUUCUCAUUUCUACAUGAAGUUGGUACCCUUAUAGACAUGGCAAAGACUGGCAGCAUCACAUGGCCAGUGUCAAGUCAUGGUCGGUGUCA